AGCCUCAUUCUACUUAAGAUGGGCACUGUCAGUCAGUGUCUAGAACUGGUGAAUGUGGCUAAAUUGAGACACAGGUCAUGCUUCCAUCACAGUAGAUGCAUUACAGUGGUGACAAUGAGGCCUGUGACAUUU
Small nucleolar RNA from Microtus ochrogaster (prairie vole), 132 nucleotides. Ensembl annotates it as predicted gene, 22620. The record is from Ensembl. NCBI's taxonomy places the organism in Eukaryota, Metazoa, Chordata, Mammalia, Rodentia, Cricetidae.